ACCCGUGCUUCUGUAUCUGUAAAUUUGAGAUUCCUUUUUCUGGUACGGGCUGGGAAGGGCUCUGGGAGCCGGGGUCCAAUCCUAUUUGAGGAUCUGAACCUGCUUAAACCUGCUGGGAAACUAAGAACCGACGCCUUUGGAAAUGGGUUCCAGGGGCGAGGCUCUUCCAAUGCGUUUAAGGAACUUCUCUUUUCUUCCACUCCACAUCACCCCUACACCUGUCCCACACUCCAUCUUCAGGGAGCAUGCAGAACGAAGCUGUUUCUCCGCCCCCAGGGUUACUGAGGGGAGGCUGGAGAGAAUGGACGGGCUCCUAAAGGCCGCCAAGGAUGUAGCUCAGAUCUUUGUAUUUGGAUAUUUUGAAACAAAAUGACAGCUGCUUUAGCAACAAGAGAAGUCACCUGUAAUUAUCUGCUUGUGAAAACGUCCACACUGCCACCCAACCAGGUUAACAGACUGUGAUGAUGCCACUCCCACUGUCCCCAGCAGCACCCCAGUGACCACUUCCCUCCCCCAUGUCCUUGUUCUCGUGAUUCCUGGGAUGGUGACUCAGAAGUGUUAAAGAAUCCCGCGAGCCAAGCUGCCUUCAACAAAGCCUCCACCUGCAGGUUCUCCCACGGCGGUAGGAGGGGCUGUUUUCCAGUGUUGCCGCCGGCACGAAAUACCAUCCACCUCCAUAUCUCAACAUCUGAUGAGCAAAAAGCAGUACCCAAUUGUCCCUUAUAUUGUCCUCCACCGAUGGUGAAGCAGAGUAUGUUGUCCUCAGAGAAAUCUGAAAGAAUUAUACUAAAGGGCUUCUUGUACAGUGGAAGCCGCACUGUAUGUGCGUAUUACGAGAUCCAUUUGCGUCCCACACUUAUCUUCUGUCUGCCCUAUGUUGAGACCUGGCCCUAUGGUGCCAAGCCCUGCUCUUAAAUGAGCUUUUGUGCUCAAACCAUUAAAAAGGAAAUCACUGAUGAAGUACCUGCUCCAUGCUGUGGAAACAGUGAAUACUGCCCCAGCCUCACGGUGCUCACCCAGGCCAAGGCGCUGUGAGUCAGCAGGGGGGUGCCCUCAUCACGCCUAACACUGAAUGGGGCAAGGGCACGAGACAGACAGAAGGAAAGGAAGGGAAGAAAGACCACAGCCACUGGAGGUGAGCUAUGAGGACAAGCUGUGUGCUGAAAGAACCACAUCCUAAAAAACCUGUGAAUGUGACUUCAUUUGGAACAAGGGUCUUUGCAGUGGAAUCAAGUUAAGGAUCUUGAAAUGGAAAGAUCAUUCUGGAUUAUCCAGGGCCGGGGUAGGGUACUGAAUACAAUGAUGAGGGACACAGAGGGGAGAGGUGACAGAGGAGGAGGGGUAAGCAGUGAAGACAGAAGCAGAGCUUGGAGUGAUGCAGCUACAAGGAGAGAAGCAGGGAAUGGAUUCUUUCCUGGAACCUCAGGAGGGAGUGUGGCCUUGCCAACACCUUGAUUUUGGACUUCUGUCUUUCAGAAC
This is a long non-coding RNA of Choloepus didactylus (southern two-toed sloth), 1479 nucleotides long. RefSeq lists it as uncharacterized. The record is from RefSeq and is a predicted model, not a curated record. Lineage: Eukaryota; Metazoa; Chordata; Mammalia; Pilosa; Megalonychidae. The transcript is spliced from 3 exons.